This 244-nucleotide ribosomal RNA is filed under the name uncultured bacterium. RNAcentral's name for it is "partial 16S ribosomal RNA". It matches the Rfam family "Bacterial small subunit ribosomal RNA", at positions 111 to 354 of the family's 1533-position model. The record is from RNAcentral.
UAACGCGUGGGGCAACCUGCCCCAUAGAGGGGGACAACAGCUGGAAACGGCUGCUAAUACCGCAUAACAAGGAGAGAGCGCAUGUUCUUUUCUUCAAAGAUUUAUCGCUAUGGGAUGGACCCGCGUCUGAUUAGCUGGUUGGUGAGGUAACGGCUCACCAAGGCGACGAUCAGUAGCCGGCUUGAGAGAGUGGACGGCCACAUUGGGACUGAGACACGGCCCAGACUCCUACGGGAGGCAGCAG